This 23-nucleotide non-coding RNA is filed under the name Arabidopsis thaliana (thale cress). The record is from RNAcentral. Lineage: Eukaryota; Viridiplantae; Streptophyta; Magnoliopsida; Brassicales; Brassicaceae.
AAUCGCACAAUACGGUCCGGUUC